Molecule: ribosomal RNA, 301 nt
Filed under: uncultured bacterium
Lineage: Bacteria
Description: partial 16S ribosomal RNA
Rfam family: Bacterial small subunit ribosomal RNA
Source: RNAcentral
CAGUAGCCGCGGUAAUACGAAGGGUGCAAGCGUUAAUCGGAAUUACUGGGCGUAAGGCGUGCGUAGGCGGUUUGUUAAGUCUGUUGUGAAAUCCCCGGGCUCAACCUGGGAAUGGCAAUGGAUACUGGCAAGCUAGAGUGUGUCAGAGGAUGGUGGAAUUCCCGGCGUAGCGGUGAAAUGCGUAGAGAUCGGGAGGAACAUCAGUGGCGAAGGCGGCCAUCUGGGACAACACUGACGCUGAGGCACGAAAGCGUGGGGAGCAAACAGGAUUAGAUACCCGCGUAGUCCCUGUCUCUUAUAC